Molecule: long non-coding RNA, 2777 nt
Organism: Peromyscus leucopus (white-footed mouse)
Lineage: Eukaryota; Metazoa; Chordata; Mammalia; Rodentia; Cricetidae
Exons: 2
Source: RefSeq, a predicted model, not a curated record
UCCACACUUCCUUUCCUUGCUUCCCCGUCUUUCCUUCUCCCAAAGGCACCAGCUGCUUCCAACUCCCAGUCCAGUAGCCUUUGGUGCAGGGGAGGUUGCCCUCUGCUCACACGGAGGCCAGCUAACGCUCCUGUCCACCCCAGGAGUGUUUAUCCCACCCCAACUAGACUUAAAAGAAAAGGCACACACACGUGUUAUUAAAAUGAACUGUUUAUAUUAUCUCAGUUGAGUCAAUACAUUAUAAUGUAUUAAAAUGGAAAGGUACAAAAUUGAAAUAAAUACUUUCUGAUUCAUGUAUAAAUCUUUUUUUUUUGUCAAGAUGACUUUUAUCAUCAGUACAUGUCACAAGAAAACAUUUAAAAUGACACCAAAACAAUCUCUGAAAUCAUGGUGCAUGGAGGAAAUAAGCCACUUCUCUACACGGUCUGCACUUACAGUAGAUACAUUCAUUAUUGUCCAAGGGAAGACAGCCGCUGCCUUUCACUUAAAGAGCUUGGUGGAGAGGCUGAAGGGGUAUGCUACAGCUGAAGGUGAGUAGAAUGUUCCAGAGAACAGAAAAGUCUAGAUGGUCUUCAGGAACAGCACUGAGCAGGAUGGGGUGAAGGGUCUCUGGGCGAGAGGUGGAGGGCAGGGAGGAGUCCAGUUCUCAAGCAGCAGAGACCAGAGGAUGGCGUGGGGUUGGUGGUAGCCACCAUGGGCACUGGGAAUCUCUCGGCCUGAGCAGUCCUGGGUUUGUCCUCAGCCUGGGAACACUGCUCUGUCAGUGAGAGGUGGGCCCUGGGCUUUGGAGAGGGAGUGUGGUCGCCUUUCAGGCACAGCAGCGUCGGGGAGACAGGCAGGCUUCCAAGGUCUACCACGGGAGGGACUUCUCGCCUGGUUCUGACUGUUUGGUAGGUGGUCAUUAAGGCAAUAAGGACUUUAGCAAACUAGAAGUUAAGGACAGCUAAAUUCAGCCAGAUCAAAGGUAAACAAAAGGUGAGAAGGGGACCCUUUCUCUUCGGCUACUUUCCCCAAGCCAGCAAGCCUCAGCUCCUGGAGCACAGGUUUACAGUACGCAAUAGCAGAGGGCUUGCCCUUUGAGAGGCUCCAUGGAAAAAAGGCUCAUCCAAGACUUGGGCAACGUAAGCAGUUUCUACUCUCCAAACUCUUUCCUGCGGUCAUGUUCUGGGGAGUGGCAGGUGGAAGCACCAAGAUUCAUGCAGAAGUUAGGUCAAGACCCUGGCUCUCAUCUUGCUGGUUCAUCUCAUUGGCCUUGAACACCAUGCAACCCGGAAAACCAAGCCAGAUGCUUGCAUGCACCAUAAGACUGACACUCAGCUGGAGAGAAGGCAAGAAUUUCAGGGGUCCAGAGAGGGCACCCUCCCCUGAGCAGAUGGAAGGAGAGCUGCAAGGGCUAUGGAACUAUGAAGUCCCACUUGGCCUCUGGGGAGAAGAAAAAAGCUCGUGUGACUUGAAUCUGUCCAGAAGGAGACAUGCAAAAGGUAAAGGAGAGCAGGACUAUUCUCUUCCUCCAUGCUCUGGACAAAGGAGAUGAGCCUUACAAUGCUAUGGGAAACGUAACCUCCGACAGCUACCUGUUCUGGGCUAACUUCUGGCAAGAGGCUGGGUAGUCUGACUGCCAAGGCUCUGGACCGGGGAAGAAGAGGAUCUGGAACAGUUUCUGCCAAGGGUACAACUACCUAUCCCUGCAUAGGAACCAAGUAUGACCUAGGUAAAGCAGAUAGAAUCACUCCCCUCCAUCCUCCAGCAUGAGACAGCAGGACAGAAAAGGCUCCUCAUGAGAUGCCUGGGGCCUGCAGGUAUAGCAGCUUGGACAUGCUAGACUCAAAUUAUUCAGGAGCCCUCUAAGGGACCUUGGUGGGAAGGAGACAUUUGCAAGAGGACACACUAAUGGCCAGCUGUCUGGGGCUCGAUCCCUGUCUAGUCCCUCUGGUGGGACGCUAAGAAAAGUAGGUAACAGGACUGCAAGAAUUACAACAAUAAACCAAUGACAAAAGCGUGACAAGCAUGAUCUGGGGAUAUGGACAAAACAAGAUUGAUGGCAAGUUAAGUGAUCAUUGCUAAAGAGGACUGGUGGAUGACUUCCUCGUCUAAUCCUGCAUGAGUGCAUGAUUAAACCUAUCCUCUAAGUGACACACAGUACAAAACAAAUCCUCUAAGAAAUCAUCUAGCUUACCCCUUCCUUUCCCUGACAGAAUACCCAAAGCCACUGGGAAUGGGCUCUGUAGAACUAGAGCCCAGCCAUCUUCCUACAGCCACUGGGACAUUGCAGUCACCUUUAUAGUCUUGCAUCCAUGUCUGUUCUCUGGCUUUGCUCUUACCAUGUUGAGAAGCAGGCAACACUCCUGAGAACGCCCGCCAGUGAGCCUCAGGAACCUAGUAUUCAUGGCAAACACCUUGUUGCUUCACUAGGCUAGCCUUCUGAGGAGCCCACAGAACUUAGGGGAGCAGCAGCCUGGGCUGGAGUUCUGCUGUGAGCAGUGUGUGGCUGGUGUGUGGCCUCAGCUACUGGCUAAGUAGUGUGGUCACCAGCCCUGCCUGUUCUUGGAAGAGUUUAAGAAUACGGGGAACAAAGGAGCUGUUCUAACAGUUCAGAAAACAAAUUGUAACAGAUGAAACAGAAGUUGUUGUUGUUGUUUUUUAAUGAAUGCAAAGAGUGCACAUGAACAAGGAUGACAAAAGCUUACAAGUCAGAAGAUGCGUGGGAAAGAGUCAUCUUUAGGAUCGUGAGAGUGUGAAAGAAUGUUUGCAAAGUCUAUUGUGUUACCUAGUUUUUU